GGCCCUUUAGCUCAGCGGUCAGAGCAUGCGACUCAUAAUCGCCCGGUCGCCGAUUCAAAUCCGGCAGGAGCCACCA
This 76-nucleotide transfer RNA is filed under the name Salmonella enterica. RNAcentral describes it as "tRNA-Met". It matches the Rfam family "tRNA". Rfam says of the family: Transfer RNA (tRNA) molecules are approximately 80 nucleotides in length. Their secondary structure includes four short double-helical elements and three loops (D, anti-codon, and T loops). Further hydrogen bonds mediate the characteristic L-shaped molecular structure. tRNAs have two regions of fundamental functional importance: the anti-codon, which is responsible for specific mRNA codon recognition, and the 3' end, to which the tRNAs corresponding amino acid is attached (by aminoacyl-tRNA synthetases). tRNAs cope with the degeneracy of the genetic code in two manners: having more than one tRNA (with a specific anti-codon) for a particular amino acid; and 'wobble' base-pairing, i.e. permitting non-standard base-pairing at the 3rd anti-codon position. The record is from RNAcentral. RNAcentral also lists the same sequence under 2 other names. Lineage: Bacteria; Pseudomonadati; Pseudomonadota; Gammaproteobacteria; Enterobacterales; Enterobacteriaceae.